AUGAACGCUAGCGACAGGCCUAACACAUGCAAGUCGAGGGGCAGCACAAGGAGCAAUCUGAGGUGGCGACCGGCGCACGGGUGAGUAACACGUAUGCAACCUGCCUGUAAGCGGGGAAUAACCCGUUGAAAGACGGACUAAUACCGCAUAAUACUAAAUUACUGCAUGGUAAUUUAUUUAAACAUUUAUGGCUUACAGAUGGGCAUGCGCAUGAUUAGCUAGUUGGAGAGGUAACGGCUCCCCAAGGCAACGAUCAUUAGGGGUUCUGAGAGGAAGGUCCCCCACACUGGUACUGAGACACGGACCAGACUCCUACGGGAGGCAGCAGUGAGGAAUAUUGGUCAAUGGACGAGAGUCUGAACCAGCCAAGUCGCGUGCAGGAAGAAUGUCCUAUGGAUUGUAAACUGCUUUUGCAGGGGAAUAAAGUGCAUCACGUGUGAUGUUUUGUAUGCACUCUGCGAAUAAGGAUCGGCUAACUCCGUGCCAGCCGCUGC
Molecule: ribosomal RNA, 494 nt
Filed under: uncultured bacterium
Lineage: Bacteria
Description: bacterial SSU rRNA
Rfam family: Bacterial small subunit ribosomal RNA
Source: RNAcentral